This is a long non-coding RNA of Empidonax traillii (willow flycatcher), 2649 nucleotides long. RefSeq lists it as uncharacterized. NCBI's taxonomy places the organism in Eukaryota, Metazoa, Chordata, Aves, Passeriformes, Tyrannidae. The record is from RefSeq and is a predicted model, not a curated record. The transcript is spliced from 2 exons.
CGCUGACAAUGAAAACUACAGCUCCUAUAAAGUGCUGAUCAAAUUGCGAAAGGUGGCCUUUCCCAGCAGCCUGGCACACUCUAGCAUUAUCCCAGCUUAUAAAUAAACGGAUGGGCUGAGCCACUUUGGCUUUUUUUUUUUUUUUUUUUUUUCCCUCUUAGUCCUUACCAAGAUAAUUGAGGAUCAUAAUGGUGGGAAAGGACUGCAGUCAUCAUUCGCUGCCUGUCAGGUCACCGGCCUUUCCAGUGCAGAUACUGCCCAUACAGUGCCUCUCAGAAGGGAAACCUGAAGACCCACGUUCUCUGUGUCCAUCGCAUGCCUUUCGACAACAGCCAGUACCCCGACCGCAGGUUCAAGCGCUCCAGGGUUGACUCCGAAGCUUCUGGGAAUUUGGAGGAACCCGCAGCUGUCAAGCCGGGGAGCUCGGCAGAGCCAGCAGAGGAGGGCAGCAAGGCCCAGGAGUGACGCUGCUCGGAGGGUCCCUCUCCGUCCUGCAGUAGCCUUUCACACCAGGUUUAGAUUCGUGUUUGGGUGAGAGCUGGCUUAAAAUACCUUCCAGGGAAGGCUUAAAAUACCAUCCAGGGAAGGGAUGACAAGUUCCCAGAAGUGUACAGGAUGCUGAAAACAUUUAAGUGUGUGUAUAUGUACGUGUACACACGCACAUAUAUAUAUAUUUACAGACACACAGAGAUUCAGUCGCACACACACUGAAUAUAUAUCUACAUACACACACACACAGAGACACAAAAUACACACAUUCCAUAUGUGUGUGUGUGUGUAAAUAUAUAUAUUACACACUCAAAAUAAAUUUUCCAGCCCUUGAAAAUGGCUGCUAAACAGUUACCUGGCAACAAGUACUUCCAAACAACGUAGGUGGGAUAAUAAAGUGAUUUGAAAAUGUUGGGAGGUUGUUAGUUAUUUAAAAAGCAGGGCAAUAUCAAACUUAAAAGUGAUCUUCGUCCAAAAAUAAUGCUCUUAACAGAAAAAUGAUACCCUCUAAAUGAUUUAGUGUUGCCUUGAAGAUUGAGGGGCUGUGUUUUCAUUGUUGAAAACACCUUUAUAAUAUGACACCAGCUGCUGUCAUUUGCCUAGCAUAGUAAUGAGAUGUCUUGGUAGACUGCCAUGGUGCCAGUCUGACUGGAGCUGUCAUUGCAGAGAAAAUCAAUUCAAGUGGUGUUGCAACUGCAGUGUAGGAGAAACCUUAGACGGCCCAUAAGCUGGGGUCAGUACUGACCUAUAUUGAAAAGUAUUGUGACAUUACAUUUCCUUUUUUUAUUCUUUUUUUUUUUUAAAUAUACAGCCAAAUGAAUCAAUGGUUAGGAAAAAUAAAUCUGUGGCCCGAAGUGUGACUGCAGAUUUGAAAUGUAAUUCCAUUUUUUGUAAUCAUUUUCAGUAUUGAGGGAAAUGCUUUUAUUCUUUUUUUUUCUUGUUGAUGAAGAAGUAAGUUGCUAUAAAAGUAGAAAUACAAUGUAUAGAAAUAUUGUUUAGUGAAACUAGUCAGCCUUAUCUAUAGAAGGUGCUGGUGAGAAACAGAAUUUUAUUACAUAGGAGGUUGGUAAUUUUUUUUCUUCUUCCAUUCUUUGCUUUUCUUAUUGGUUUUUCAAACUUCCUUUAAUUUUUUUUUUUUUUUUUUUUUUUUUUUUUACACUUGAAUGAAGGAUUCCCUAGUCACGGUUAAUUUUCAUGUAUUAGUUUUUAUAAGUGUUACAGACAUAGUGCAGAAGUUUCUUCUGGAGCAAGCCCUUAUAAAGUAGCUUGACCUAAAAUAUGAAUCCAAACUUUCUGCUCUUUGUCUCUAAUGAAGAAAAGUGUUUUAGACUAUAUUUCUUUGAUUUUGUAAAACAAAUGUGUUCUAUAUUUUUGCAGAUUUUAGCUUUUUUACUGAUUGGAUGCUCCAAAUUUAGUAAGGUCUUUGCCACAUAGGAAGCUUUUGAGAGACUAUAACAAACCACAUACUUAAAGAAAGUAAGAAAAAUAACUAAAGGUUUAUUCUGGAAUUCUCUGAAUGGCAUAAAAUUUUAUCCUUCUAAUGUACUUCCUUUGAUAGAAGCAAAAUUGGUGCUGUUUCUUGUGAUGGUAGAGAAGUAUUAACUUCUUCUAAAACAAAAUCAUCCAGACUUUAAAAAAAAAAAAAAAGAAAAAAGUUUAAAAAAAGUCAAUAUUUCUUUGCAGGCUGGGAGCACAGAGUAAAACCCCAGGGCCUUAAAACUUCAGCUCUGCCUAAAGCAGUUUACAAAAAAUACUAAACUGCAAUCAAUGUAAAUAAAAUUCUUAGCGCUACCCUGAGACUGGAAAAAAAAAAAUCUCAGGCUAAUAAGGAAUACGGUUUGCAUAUGCUGUCGGAAAGGAUGUCAUCCAACUGAAGUUUCAGUUUAAAUGAGGUCACUGUGUAACUUGGACCCAUCUGGCACAGAGCAAGCUGCUUUUCUUGUUUUUCUAGUAUAGUUCUCACUGCCUUACUUAAAUCGAGUUGAUAAACUUAAUGCAACUGUUUCUAUGAUCCUAGAUAAAGGAUUGAAAUGUUAUUGAACCUUUCUGACUGUAGUAAGCUUUAGGAUUUUAACUGCACUACUGUGUUUGGUGACUGUGUCAGUCGCUUGCUUUGUGUGUUUGCGCCGCCUUCGGUAUCUUAGCAAAAAAAACGAAAAA